CCCGGCGACCGGCGCACGGUGAGUAACACGUAUGCAACCUGGCCGCCACAGGGGAUAACCCGCGGAAACGCGGCCUAAUACCCCGUGACGCCACCGGAGGGCAUCCUCCGGUGGCCAAAGGAGCGAUCCGGUGGCGGAUGGGCAUGCGGCGCAUUAGCUAGACGGCGGGGUGACGGCCCACCGUGGCGACGAUGCGUAGGGGUUCUGAGAGGAAGGCCCCCCCACACUGGGACUGAGACACGGCCCAGACUCCUACGGGAGGCAGCAG
Molecule: ribosomal RNA, 268 nt
Filed under: uncultured bacterium
Lineage: Bacteria
Description: partial 16S ribosomal RNA
Rfam family: Bacterial small subunit ribosomal RNA
Source: RNAcentral